This 446-nucleotide ribosomal RNA is filed under the name uncultured bacterium. RNAcentral's name for it is "bacterial SSU rRNA". It matches the Rfam family "Bacterial small subunit ribosomal RNA", at positions 29 to 522 of the family's 1533-position model. The record is from RNAcentral.
AACGAACGCUGGCGGCAUGCCUAACACAUGCAAGUCGAACGAGACUUCGGUCUAGUGGCGGACGGGUGAGUAACGCGUAGGAACCUGCCAAGCAGUGGGGAAUAACAGCUGGAAACGGCUGCUAAUACCGCAUACGCCCUUCGGGGGAAAGAUUUAUCGCUGUUUGAGGGUCCUGCGUUCGAUUAGCUAGUUGGUGAGGUAACGGCCCACCAAGGCGACGAUCGAUAGCUGGUCUGAGAGGAUGAUCAGCCACACUGGGACUGAGACACGGCCCAGACUCCUACGGGAGGCAGCAGUGGGGAAUAUUGCACAAUGGACGAAAGUCUGAUGCAGCAACGCCGCGUGGAGGAUGACACAUUUCGGUGCGUAAACUCCUUUUAUAUAGGAAGAUAAUGACGGUACUAUAUGAAUAAGCACCGGCUAACUCCGUGCCAGCAGCCGCGGUA